This 512-nucleotide ribosomal RNA is filed under the name uncultured Planctomycetota bacterium. RNAcentral's name for it is "bacterial SSU rRNA". It matches the Rfam family "Bacterial small subunit ribosomal RNA", at positions 9 to 531 of the family's 1533-position model. Lineage: Bacteria; Pseudomonadati; Planctomycetota. The record is from RNAcentral.
GAGUUUGAUCAUGGCUCAGAACGAACGUUGGCGGCGUGGAUUAGGCAUGCAAGUCGAACGAAUCCCAGGGGGGUAACUCUCUGGGGGAAGUGGCGAAAGGGGCAGUAAAAAAAAAGUAACGUACCCCGGGGACCGGGAUAGCCUCUCUAACGAGAGGGUAAUACCGGGCGAUUCAGCGGAGGGGCAUCUCUCUGCUGGGAAAUGAAUUUCGCCUCGGGAGCGGCUCACGUGCUAUUACCUAGUUGGCGGGGUAACGGCCCACCAAGGGGAAGAUGGCUAGCAGGUGUGAGAGCACGACCUGCGCCACUGGCACUGAGACACUGGCCAGACUCCUACGGGAGGCUGCAGUCGAGGAUCUUCGGCAAUGGGCGCAAGCCUGACCGAGCGACGCCGCGUGCGCGAUGAAGGCCUUCGGGUUGUAAAGCGCUGUCGAGGGGGAGGAAGCCGCAAGGUUGAGCUAUCCCUGGAGGAAGCACGGGCUAAGUUCGUGCCAGCAGCCGCGUACAAGGGCG